UCCCCAGUUGGAGUAUUCUUUUGCAUGACGC
This 31-nucleotide non-coding RNA is filed under the name Mus musculus (house mouse). The record is from RNAcentral. Lineage: Eukaryota; Metazoa; Chordata; Mammalia; Rodentia; Muridae.